RNAcentral lists this non-coding RNA (103 nucleotides) under Rhodovulum sp. Its description in RNAcentral is "TPP sequence". It matches the Rfam family "TPP riboswitch aptamer (THI element)". From Rfam's summary of the family: Vitamin B(1) in its active form thiamin pyrophosphate (TPP) is an essential coenzyme that is synthesised by coupling of pyrimidine and thiazole moieties in bacteria. The record is from RNAcentral. Lineage: Bacteria; Pseudomonadati; Pseudomonadota; Alphaproteobacteria; Rhodobacterales; Paracoccaceae. RNAcentral also lists the same sequence under 1 other name.
CGGCUUACCUCGGGGUGCCCCAUGGGGCUGAGAUGCGCGCCUGCGCGAACCCGUCGAACCUGACCCGGUUAGAACCGGCGGAGGGAAGGUCCAUGGAGAACAU